Molecule: transfer RNA, 73 nt
Filed under: Chloroflexota bacterium
Lineage: Bacteria; Bacillati; Chloroflexota
Description: Chloroflexi bacterium tRNA-Pro
Rfam family: tRNA
About the family: Transfer RNA (tRNA) molecules are approximately 80 nucleotides in length. Their secondary structure includes four short double-helical elements and three loops (D, anti-codon, and T loops).
Source: RNAcentral
CGGGGUGUAGCGCAGUUGGUAGCGUGCCGUGUUUGGGACGCGGAGGUCCCGGGUUCGAGUCCCGGCACCCCGA